GAUAAACGCUAGCGGCAGGCUUAACACAUGCAAGUCGAGGGGCAGCAUAGAUUGUAGCAAUACAAUUGGUGGCGACCGGCGCACGGGUGCGUAACGCGUAUGCAACCUGCCCGUCACAGGGGGAUAAUCCGGAGAAAUCUGGUCUAAUACCCCAUAACAUAUGGAUCGGCAUCGGUUCAUGUUGAAAUUUUCGGAGGUGACGGAUGGGCAUGCGUAGCAUUAGCUUGUUGGUGAGGUAACGGCUCACCAAGGCGACGAUGCUUAGGGGGACUGAGAGGUUUUCCCCCCACACUGGUACUGAGACCCGGACCAGACUCCUACGGGAGGCAGCAGUGAGGAAUAUUGGUCAAUGGGCGCAAGCCUGAACCAGCCAUGCCGCGUGCAGGAUGACGGCUCUAUGAGUUGUAAACUGCUUUUGUACGAGGGUAAAGUGGGUUACGUGCAACCUUUUGAAAGUAUCGUACGAAUAAGGAUCGGCUAACUCCGUGCCAGCCGCCGCCGUAA
Molecule: ribosomal RNA, 504 nt
Filed under: uncultured bacterium
Lineage: Bacteria
Description: partial 16S ribosomal RNA
Rfam family: Bacterial small subunit ribosomal RNA
Source: RNAcentral